GAUGAACGCUGGCGGCGUGCCUAAUACAUGCAAGUCGAGCGAACGGACGAGAAGCUUGCUUCUCUGAUGUUAGCGGCGGACGGGUGAGUAACACGUGGAUAACCUACCUAUAAGGCUGGGAUAACUUCGGGAAACCGGAGCUAAUACCGGAUAAUAUUUUGAACCGCAUGGUUCAAAAGUGAAAGACGGUCUUGCUGUCACUUAUAGAUGGAUCCGCGCUGCAUUAGCUAGUUGGUAAGGUAACGGCUUACCAAGGCAACGAUGCAUAGCAGACCUGAGAGGGUGAUCGGCCACACUGGAACUGAGACACGGUCCAGACUCCUACGGGAGGCAGCAGUAGGGAAUCUUCCGCAAUGGGCGAAAGCCUGACGGAGCAACGCCGCGUGAGUGAUGAAGGUCUUCGGAUCGUAAAACUCUGUUAUUAGGGAAGAACAUAUGUGUAAGUAACUGUGCACAUCUUGACGGUACCUAAUCAGAAAGCCACGGCUAACUACGUG
Molecule: ribosomal RNA, 497 nt
Filed under: uncultured bacterium
Lineage: Bacteria
Description: partial 16S ribosomal RNA
Rfam family: Bacterial small subunit ribosomal RNA
Source: RNAcentral